AAUCUCUUAAAGCCGUUCUCAGUUCGGAUUGUAGGCUGCAACUCGCCUACAUGAAGUCGGAAUCGCUAGUAAUCGCGGAUCAGAAUGCCGCGGUGAAUACGUUCCCGGGUCUUGUACACACCGCCCGUCACACCAUGGGAGUCGGAAAUGCCCGAAGUCUGUGACCCAACCUUAGGGAGGGAGCAGCCGAAGGCAGGUCGGAUGACUGGGGUGAAGUCGUAACAAGGUAUC
Molecule: ribosomal RNA, 231 nt
Filed under: uncultured bacterium
Lineage: Bacteria
Description: partial 16S ribosomal RNA
Rfam family: Bacterial small subunit ribosomal RNA
Source: RNAcentral